Long non-coding RNA from Odocoileus virginianus texanus, 361 nucleotides. RefSeq lists it as uncharacterized. The record is from RefSeq and is a predicted model, not a curated record. Lineage: Eukaryota; Metazoa; Chordata; Mammalia; Artiodactyla; Cervidae.
UGGGCCCUGAGUCAUCCUCAGCCCUGGCCACUCCACCCCCUGCACCCCCUCCCCUGCCUUGGUUCUCAGGGCACAGUGCGCCAAUGGCCUUUCGUCCUCACCCCCUCAUGCUCCAGAGCUGGAGACCCCCAGCUGCCUGGGCUAGGGAGACUCCUCUGUGCCCAGCCAUCAAGAUGAGGGGAGCUCCAGUAGGGGGUGUUUUAGGUGAUGUGAUCAGGAGCCCCACCACCACCGUCCUCGGAGGUCUCCAUCACGUGGCCCUCUUGAACCUCCAUCGCGCUCGUCCCUCUCCGAAAUGAUCUACUGGUCAGUUGUUACUCUGCUCUGCCGGUACGCAACUGUGCCCCCCGCUGAGGGAGGU